Long non-coding RNA from Xiphophorus hellerii (green swordtail), 539 nucleotides. RefSeq lists it as uncharacterized. NCBI's taxonomy places the organism in Eukaryota, Metazoa, Chordata, Actinopteri, Cyprinodontiformes, Poeciliidae. The transcript has 4 exons. The record is from RefSeq and is a predicted model, not a curated record.
UCCUUCUGUCGGGUUGGCGACCCAUCCCAGCUCCCCCUGUACGGCCCUGGAGUCCAAUAACGUGACUGGAAAACAAGAAUAGGAGACGUUCAAGCAUGUCGGCCGUCUCUCCCAUGAGAAGGGCACGUUGCUGUCGUUGGCAGGCAACCUCUCAAUGAUCUGCAGAGGAGAUUGCCUCUGUGUGGGCAGGUCAGGGCGUUCCGCAUCAGCACACACAGCUGCCGUCUUUGCAGAGGAAAAGCAUCCCCACACCAUGAUGCUGCCAACACCUUGUUUCUCCUUGGGAAUGGGGCAUAUUUGUCGACUGAUCACUUUACAGUUGUCCGGUAAACAGAUUCUUCCCCUUCAACUGUGUGUCUGCAGCUCCUCCAGAGCUACAGCGAUCAUCUUGAUUGCUGCUGCCAUUCAUUUUAUGCUUGCCCAGAUGUCAACUUUGGUUGAUAUCCAUGUCUUUGUAGGUUUGUAGUUGUGUGUGAGGUGUUCAAAGUUUGGAUAUUGUUUUACAACAUGUUUUAAACUUUUCUACAAGUUCACCCUGA